RNAcentral lists this long non-coding RNA (402 nucleotides) under Brassica napus (rape). Its description in RNAcentral is "long non-coding RNA (BNAP_LNC005731)". Lineage: Eukaryota; Viridiplantae; Streptophyta; Magnoliopsida; Brassicales; Brassicaceae. The record is from RNAcentral.
UCACAUUAACACAAUAACUCAUUUUAUUGUUUUAACAAUACAAGUGUUCUUAUGCACCACUCAACAUUGAUCUAACUACCUAACAUCAAUCAACAAAGCUAACCAGUCGUAUAAUCCAACAUAAAAAAUAUAGAAAAUCAAGAGAAGAAAACAUCCCCACCUGUAUCAAAGAUGAACGAGAUGUAGAUCAGCAGGACAUGAAUAUCUAUAGAACACAUAUGAAGAACGAGACGACAAGCGACGGACAACGAACAACGACCAGUCGGUAUCAGCGUCGGCAAACUACGAAAAUGAACGAGACGAAAGGAGCAACAGUUGCUGGUUGGUGAGAAACAACAACAGCGGAAGCAAGGCGUCGGUGGCGGAUAUGGAACAGGGGCGAUCAGUGGUUAUGGCUCGGGC